Molecule: long non-coding RNA, 642 nt
Filed under: Vigna radiata
Lineage: Eukaryota; Viridiplantae; Streptophyta; Magnoliopsida; Fabales; Fabaceae
Description: long non-coding RNA (VRAD_LNC015384)
Source: RNAcentral
GUGUAAAGCUUCCCCUAUCAACAUGAUGUGUUAGAGUGAGGGUAGAAGGAUGAUUUGGGAUUGAAUAAGUGUGGGUUAAAUUCUAAAAAGAAAGAAAGUUAAAGUAAACUCUUGGUUUUAAUUUAUAUUUUGGAUCCAGGGGCAAAAAGGUCAUUUUACCCUCAUUAAUUAGUGUAGAAAUUAAGUUAUGGGGUGUAGAACGUAAAGGAAGGAAAAUAACUUUGAAUAGUAAUAUGAGGGCUACGUGAAUCUUAAAAUAUUUUGGUGGUUGUGGGUAUUUUAAAAAGUAGAUAAAAUAAGAGAAAGAUUGAAUAAGAGAAGAUAAAAAGGAGAAGGGGAAACUAGGGUUUGCACAUUUUAACCUACAUCUAAAACAAAAGAGAGAGAGAGGCGGUUCUGGGAGAGAAGAGGAAGAAUUACAUGUUGGAAAACAAUCGGUACCGAUUUUGCGCAGCGGAGUUAAAACAGAUACGAUUGUUAAGAGCGAAAAGUGUGUUCAGUCAAUAAAAUGGUUCCUUUAAUUUUCUUCUAAAACUUUUAUCAAACAGUUGAUAUGCUAAAAGUUUAAAAAGUGUAGGGAAGAGAAAAAUCACACAGAUUAUCUUUAUACUGGUUCGAAUCAACAGAUUCUACGUCCAGUUG